AAAAAGCCAGACGAAUUUGUAAUUCUCUCUCCUCUCAAUGCACACCUCUCAUUCACUCUUGCCUCUCCUUCAUUUGACCAUAAAUGCCAUUACUACACUGAUCAUAUCUUCCGCAUCACCGUUUCAAAUCGUCUUCCAUCAUACCCUUAAUUUGUGCUUUAAUUUAUUAACUAAUUAAUCGUUGACAAUCCAACACCCACACAACGUGUCAAAUAAAUUUUUCUCUCUAAUUCUCCUCUCAGUAACCCUAAACUAUUCUCUUCAACUUAAAUCCUUGGUUACCUGCCGCCACUGGACAAAUUUCACAAAGUAUUUCAAUUUUAGGAGAGGGAUAUGAGGCUAAAAAUCAUCAUGUUCCUAUCCUCAGUGCUUUUUCUCUAACAAAUGCAACAAUGAUGUUUUCGUGAAAAAGGAACGUGAUUCAAAUGAUUAAGCUAUAAUCAAAUAUUUCAUAUUCCUUGGCUUCUUGAAUCAAAUGACGAGGAUGGAGAAAGUGAAUUCAAGGGAAAUUGCAGGAAUUAUAUUUGGGAUCUUUUUCAUAUAAAAGUGGAUUCCAAAGUAAUUGAUAGAAUGACAUAUGGCUUCAGGUGAUUACAUUAGUGUUCUCACUUUUUUCAAAUUGCUUUGCUAAUUUCUUGAUUUGUCGUCUUAAUAACAUAUUUAGGAUGAUUUUGAAUGAGUAGCUUUAUUAUUAUAGCAACAAAUAGACCACCAGUUCCUCAUAUGUAAUGUUAUUAGUAAUUACUUAUUGUGUUACAUUUCUGAUAUAUAUAAUUUGAUGCUUUAUUUUGUGUUAUUGGUACUAUGCUUGAUGAGGAUGUACCACAGUAUCUUUUGUUUUUGAGGAAUGAUGGAAUGUUUUCUCAUAGGAUCAUUGACCUACAGAUGUUGAUAUAAGUUUUGUAUUUCUACAUCAUUUUAUUCUAUUUAUUUAUUCAAGUUUUUUGGUAAGUUCUUGGAGGUUCGUUUUGAUCAAAAUUGAAGAAUAUUUGGAGCUACUAUCAUAACAUAUUUGUUAGAAUAGUGAAAUUAACAGUGCUUUUAUAGCAUUGCGUUGCACCACAAGAAAUGAAAGAAAAAAAGUUGGUGACCUCAGAUUUUUUGGUGAAUGUGACUUACCAUUUUUCUACAUAGUGCUCUAUAUUUCUUCAUUCUUAAGAUUUUUUACAUAUUUUCUCAUGACUUUUCAUAUUUUCUUCACUUCAAAUUUUAGCUUUCUACAAAAUAAUCAUUUAGACUUUUAGACACGACAUAAUGGCUACACUAUAUGUUGCAGAGUGCGAUUUUUAGCACAUGAAUAGGAAACUACAUAAGGUUAUUCUCAAAACUACUUGAGCGAGUUAUUGUGUAGGCGAGUGGUUCAAGUCAAUAGGACACUUGAAUGAGUUUAUUGUUUGUGAAUUGAAACAAAAGAGUAGUCUUUUAAUUGUUUCUGCCAUAAGAUGAAAGGUUUUUUUCCAUAUGAGAAAAGUGUCUCACAAGCUUUGUUCUAAUUUUGUUAGUUACCAAAGCUUUAUUUUUUUUAUCUGUUGUGCAUCCUGUGAAAUUUAUCACAAAAACAUUGAUCUUUACAUUGUUUUUGGUUUGCAAAAGGUUUAGUCUACCGUGCAAGCAGCAAUUUGUCAAACAGUGGCACAUGCUUCGUAUCAUAAAUGCUUUAAUGGCUGUAUUUAAUAGGAACGUUGCUUGCAGCUUGAUUUUUUUUGAAAUGGCCAAUGUUAUUAACCACUUGAGUUGAGUCCAAUCACUUGAUUUAGAUCAUUCCUUCAAUACUUUUAGAUUCCCAUGUAUUCUUACUUCCUUUAUGAAUAUGGUAUCUAUAAUCUAUAUAUCUAUAUAAUCACUAACUAGCAAAAGAUCAUACACAAAAUGCUGCUACUCCAAAAUGAUAUAGCAUUUUGCCCUUUUAAUUUCAAGUUCAGUAUCUAUUCUCUAUGUUGUGAUUUAUUGAUUUAACACACUUCAACUAGAAUACUCAUGCCUCUUUUUAAACCGGUUGGCCAUAGCAAUGGAAGCUCACAAGAGAAUGACCACUUUAUCUAUUUAUUAGUUGCAUUAUUACAUGUAUUUUUGUCAGUUUAGAUUCAUUAAUCAAACCAUUUUAAACAAGUGGUUGUUUGUGGUAAGACCUUAUUGUAAUAGGUUGAGCUACACCUUGGUUGGCAACAACAUGCUUUGAGAAUUAUGCGAGGCAAAUGCCAUUAGUAAUUGCUUUCUCACCUAUAUUGGAACUUGCUGUUAGGGGGAACUUGGUAGGAAAACCAAUAUAGUUAUGAAUAAUGAUGUCCUCACAGUAUUUGUAGAUCGGUGCUCGACAAGUUUGUUGCUCAAGUGGUUUGUGUAUCAUCAUAUGUAGCAUUGGCAGCAUUUCACAAUGAAGGAUUUGAAUAAUACUGUAUGUCAUUUUGUUUUAUUUAAACUUAAUUUUAUGUUUAGAUAUAUAUUCUUCUUACACAUUAUACAUUUGUCUUUGAUGGAUACAUGAUAUAUGGCUUAUCUUAAGCUUUUGAAAGAACUGACAGUUCAACUACUAUCAGUAGUGGGAGUUAGUUUUUUAUUGAUCUGUGCUUUAUGUUCAUUAGGAUCUCGCGUCGCUGCUCCAACUCCAAAGUCAUCUAUAAAUAUUAAUAAGCCACACCGAUUUGAAUCUCUCUUGCCACGUGGUGUACUCAAGGUAACCAUGCCCUCACAAUGAUUUAGCCUUCAAUGCCAUAAUUAGCCCAAUUUUUAAAAGAAAAAAAAUACACUAAGACGUUUUUCAAAUGCCUAAUCUCACCCAAUAGUUCGUCG
Molecule: long non-coding RNA, 2790 nt
Filed under: Trifolium pratense (red clover)
Lineage: Eukaryota; Viridiplantae; Streptophyta; Magnoliopsida; Fabales; Fabaceae
Description: long non-coding RNA (TPRA_LNC011058)
Source: RNAcentral